AUAGACGGAGCAGUGCCUCCAUCACUGCUGACAAAGCCCAAAUCCUCUGCUUCUGGUAGAGACUGACCCCCGACCCAAAGAGGGCAAUCCACCAUUUUCCGGUCGGGGACCAUGGCCUCGGGCUCAGAGGAGCUGACUUUCAUCCUGGCCGCUACACAGUCCAAGAGGCCAGGACCCCCUCCUCUCCAUGACUACGCCUUGAGAUCCUAUCCAUGAACACCACAGCCAGGAUCGGUGACAAAGGGGCAACCCUGGCGGUGUCCAGCUCGUGCUGGGAACAGGCUCGACUUUGUGCCGAGAACGCUGACACAGCUCUUGCUUUUGGCAUGCAAGAAUUGGAUAGCCCUUAAAAGCCACCCAGACACCCUAUACUCCCACAGCACCCCCCCACAAAAUACCUCGGGGGACAGGGUUGUUAGCCUUCUCCAGAUCCACAAAACACACGACAACCGCAGACGCAUACUCCCACUGUAUGACGCCCUCAGCAAUUCCACGAGGUUAAAUAUCUGGUCCACUCUUUCACAGCCAGGACGAAAGCCACACGGCUCCUCCUGGAUCCGAGGUUUGAAUAUCAUUCAGAGCCUUCUUACCAACACCCCAGAGUAAGCUUUCCCAGGGAGGCUGAAAACGGUGAUCCCCAGAUAAUUGGAACACACGCUCCGAUCCCAGAAGGCAGAACAAAGCACGGGUUUAUCUCUCUGAGCUUUAAACCUCUGUCUGUCUUGAAAAAACACUAAAUCUGACAAGGUUUGGAGUCCUUUGGAAAUCUCAGCGUGAAGGUAAAAGGUCCAUAUUCUCCAGGGAAUGCAUAUUGCUAAUUAAUUGCUCAUAAAGGAUUGUGAACUUUGCGAUAAUUUAAUCUUUUCAAGUUUUGAGUAAAACCUUGUUUUGCAGCGAUUGCUCUCUCACGGACCCUGUGUGACGUCACUUCUGCUUCUGAUGAAGGGCUAAAUAUCAGAAAUAGGGGGCCAAUAUACUAAUAGCUGCAUUUCCAACAGACAUGGACCAUGGGAAGAAGGAAAGAUGUAAAAUCUCCAAGUUUGAUGAAAAAAAAUUCAAAAGAUCUGCUGAAAGUUGGAGAUUUCUGUGAGAUUCCCUAUCUCUGCAAAAGAAAAGCUGUCUUGACAGAUGCCUGCAGAAACUGAGAGUCUCAUGGUAAUUCAGGAAGAGGAAGAUGUGAGCGCACGCCUCCUUACUCGCAGUCUCUGCGUUCUACAUGCAAGCCACGGUGUAAUAUGGCUUUUUAUUCCUAUGUGAUGAUACAAAAUAUUCAUGUAGGAAUAGAAGCUAUUUUAUAUGUGGUAAGAGAGCAGCACAACACACGCAAGAACCGCUGGCCGCUCACGGAGACAGACGCACGGCUGGAUAAAUGUCUCUGUCUUCUGCUCAAUGCUUCCCUGUAGUAAAAAGGUACAUUUAUGCUCAUCUUUCAAUUGAUGAGAGAACUCACUGAAGUGCUCAUCUGAAAGAGGGAGAAAAACAGAAAAAAAGAAAGCAACAAAAAAAAGAAAACAACAAAAACAAAAAAAAAAGUCAGACUUUGUUGUGUGUGCACCUGUUUUUUUGCCUCUAGGCACAAGCAGCCUCCACUGCUUCGGCUGUUUGAUGCAUUUGGUGACAGAUGCCGUCCGCGGGGAAGCAGGAAACAUUUGCAAAACAUCCCAAGAACAAAGGAAGAGAAGAGCAACGAGAGACCAAUACAGAUCUUUAAUAACAAACUGUAAAACAGGCACUUUAGUGAACCACUUUACAACCUGCAAGAGGCAGUUUCCCUUUCUGUUCAAUGUCAUUCAUUUUGCAAAUUAUUAAAAUAAAACUUUGUCA
Fundulus heteroclitus (mummichog) is the source of this 1824-nucleotide long non-coding RNA. RefSeq lists it as uncharacterized. The record is from RefSeq and is a predicted model, not a curated record. The transcript is spliced from 2 exons. NCBI's taxonomy places the organism in Eukaryota, Metazoa, Chordata, Actinopteri, Cyprinodontiformes, Fundulidae.